Molecule: ribosomal RNA, 508 nt
Filed under: uncultured bacterium
Lineage: Bacteria
Description: partial 16S ribosomal RNA
Rfam family: Bacterial small subunit ribosomal RNA
Source: RNAcentral
GAUGAACGCUAGCUACAGGCUUAACACAUGCAAGUCGAGGGGAAACGAUAUUGGAAGCUUGCUUCCGAUAGGCGUCGACCGGCGCACGGGUGAGUAACGCGUAUCCAACCUGCCCACCACUUGGGGAUAACCUUGCGAAAGUAAGACUAAUACCCAAUGAUCUCUCAAGAAGACAUCUGAAUGAGAUUAAAGAUUUAUCGGUGAUGGAUGGGGAUGCGUCUGAUUAGCUUGUUGGCGGGGUAACGGCCCACCAAGGCGACGAUCAGUAGGGGGUCUGAGAGGAAGGUCCCCCACAUUGGAACUGAGACACGGUCCAAACUCCUACGGGAGGCAGCAGUGAGGAAUAUUGGUCAAUGGGCGAGAGCCUGAACCAGCCAAGUAGCGUGCAGGAUGACGGCCCUAUGGGUUGUAAACUGCUUUUAUAAGGGAAUAAAGUGAGCCUCGUGAGGCUUUUUGCAUGUACCUUAUGAAUAAGGACCGGCUAAUUCCGUGCCAGCCGCCGCAGUAA